GAUGAAGAACGUAGCGAAAUGCGAUACGUAAUGUGAAUUGCAAAUUCAGUGAAUCAUCGAGUCUUUGAACGCACAUUGCGCCCCCUGGUAUUCCGGGGGGCAUGCCUGUCCGAGCGUCAUUGCUGCCCUCAAGCACGGCUUGUGUGUUGGGCCCCGUCCUCCGAUCCCGGGGGACGGGCCCGAAAGGCAGCGGCGGCACCGCGUCCGGUCCUCGAGCGUAUGGGGCUCUGUCACCCGCUCUGUAGGCCCGGCCGGCGCUUGCCGAUCAACCCAAAUUUUUAUCCAGGUUGACCUCGGAUCAGGUAGGGAUACCCGCUGAACUUAAGCAUAUCAAUAAGCGGAGGA
Molecule: unclassified non-coding RNA, 345 nt
Filed under: soil metagenome
Description: partial contains 5.8S ribosomal RNA, internal transcribed spacer 2, and large subunit ribosomal RNA
Rfam family: 5.8S ribosomal RNA (bases 1-119)
Source: RNAcentral